ACUCCUACGGGAGGCAGCAGUGGGGAAUCUUAGACAAUUGGCGCAAGCCUGAUCUAGCCAUGCCGCGUGAGUGAUGAAGGCCUUAGGGUCGUAAAGCUCUUUCGCCAGGGAUGAUAAUGACAGUACCUGGUAAAGAAACCCCGGCUAACUCCGUGCCAGCAGCCGCGGUAAUACGGAGGGGGUUAGCGUUGUUCGGAAUUACUGGGGCGUAAAGCGCGCGUAGGCGGAUUAGUCAGUUAGAGGUGAAAUCCCAGGGCUCAACCCUGGAACUGCCUUUAAUACUGCUAGUCUUGAGUUCGAGAGAGGUGAGUGGAAUUCCGAGUGUAGAGGUGAAAUUCGUAGAUAUUCGGAGGAACACCAGUGGCGAAGGCGGCUCACUGGCUCGAUACUGACGCUGAGGUGCGAAAGUGUGGGGGAGCAAACAGGAUUAGAUACCCUGGUAGGAUAGCG
This 450-nucleotide ribosomal RNA is filed under the name uncultured bacterium. RNAcentral's name for it is "bacterial SSU rRNA". It matches the Rfam family "Bacterial small subunit ribosomal RNA", at positions 335 to 799 of the family's 1533-position model. The record is from RNAcentral.